UCAGUACAGGUGUGGCAUGGCUGUCGUCAGCUCGUGUCGUGAGAUGUUGGGUUAAGUCCCGCAACGAGCGCAACCCUUAUUCUUAGUUGUUUCCCUUUGGGAUUACCCUCUAAGAGACUGGCCUCGGGAUAACGGGGAGGAAGGUGGGGAUGACGUCAAGUCCGCAUGCUCCUUACGUCUAGGGCUACACACGUCCUACAAUGGGGUCGACAAUGGGAUGCAAUAUCGCAAGAUGGAGCCAAUCCCCAAACGGCCUCUCAGUUCGGAUUGUAGUCUGCAACUCGACUACAUGAAGUUGGAAUCGCUAGUAAUGGCAGAUCAGCAUGCUGCCGUGAAUACGUUCCCGGGUCUU
This 352-nucleotide ribosomal RNA is filed under the name uncultured bacterium. RNAcentral's name for it is "bacterial SSU rRNA". It matches the Rfam family "Bacterial small subunit ribosomal RNA", at positions 1029 to 1382 of the family's 1533-position model. The record is from RNAcentral.